RNAcentral lists this ribosomal RNA (468 nucleotides) under uncultured bacterium. RNAcentral's name for it is "partial 16S ribosomal RNA". It matches the Rfam family "Bacterial small subunit ribosomal RNA", at positions 28 to 507 of the family's 1533-position model. The record is from RNAcentral.
GAUGAACGCUGGCGGCGUGCUUAACACAUGCAAGUCGAACGGAAAGGCCCUGCUCUUGUGGGGCGCUCGAGUGGCGAACGGGUGAGUAACACGUGAGUAACCUGCCCUUGACUUUGGGAUAACUUCAGGAAACUGGGGCUAAUACCGGAUAGGAUCUCCUGCUGCAUGGUGGUGGUUGGUAAGUUUCGGCGGUUGGGGAUGGACUCGCGGCUUACCGGCUUCUUGGUGGGGUAGUGGAUUACCAAGGCUUUGACGGGUAGCCGGCCUGGGAGGGUGGCCGGCCACCAUGGGACUGCGAUACGGAGCAGAAUCCUACGGGCGGCAGCGGUGGGGAGUAUGGCACAGUGGGGGGAAGCCUGAGGCGAAGACGUCGCGUGCGGGAUGACGGGUUACGGGUUGUAAACCGCUUUCGACUGUGCCGAAGCGUGCGUGACGGUAAUGGGUAAAGAAGCAACGGCUAACUACGUG